Molecule: ribosomal RNA, 2546 nt
Filed under: Penicillium subrubescens
Lineage: Eukaryota; Fungi; Ascomycota; Eurotiomycetes; Eurotiales; Aspergillaceae
Description: Bacterial large subunit ribosomal RNA
Rfam family: Bacterial large subunit ribosomal RNA
Source: Rfam by way of RNAcentral
GGCAAGUAUAAAAAGAAACUAUUAUGGAUGGUUCGCUAUAUAUUUCAAGAUUUAUCUAGCAAGUAGCAAUAGAUAUCAAAGAGAAAUCUUAUAAUUAGACAAAGUGAAUUGAAAUAUCUUAGUAACUUUAGGAAAAGAAAUCAAACGAGAUUGUUAUUUGGUGUCUUCUGAAUAACAAAAGCCUAUUAAAAAAUUAAAAUGGAAAAAAUCUGUUUGAAUAUAGGGGAACCUUCCUCUAAGGCUAAAUAAAAUAUAUAAGCGAUAGCGUAGAAGUACCGUGAGGGAAAAGGCUGAAAUAGUAGUUUUAUAAGCAGCUCGAGUGAAAUUUUAAAUAAAUAAUAAGAGCGUACCUUUUGCAUAAUGGGUCAGCAAGUUAAUUUUAGAUGCAAGCAUAUAAUAAUAAAUAUUAUUGUUUGCUUAGAUAAACCAAUUAUGAAAAAAUGAAUUAGUAUCUAGGAUUAGACCCGAAGGCUAGUGAUCUUACCAUGAUCAGGGUUGUAAAAGCCCGAACGGGUUAUCGUUGUAAAGAUAUCCGAUGAAUUGUGGUAAGUUAGUGAAAGACAAAACUGACUAGUAUAGCUGGUUUUCCGCGAAACCUAUGUAAGUAGGUAAUUUAAUUAACAUCUUAGCAGGUACAGAACUGUGAUCUCGGACAAUACCAUAGGUAUUUGUCAACAUCGGGGGGUUGUAGCGACUUUACCGGAGAGUAUUUGCACUCGGAAGGGCAAAGAUGAAUGUUAAAUAAUCAGACAUAGUGCGAUAAGGUUGUAUGUCUAAAGGGAAACAGCCCAGAACAAGAGUUAAGGUUCCAAAAUUAUUGUUAAGUGAAAUUAAGGAUGUUUUCUUUUAAAACAAUCAGGAAAUAGGCUUAGAAGCUGCCAUUUUUUGAAGACCUCGUAACAGAGCACUGAUUAAAUUUUUAGGAGAAAACGCCGAAAAUUUAACGGAUCUAAAAUAAUAUACCGAAACCUUGUACACAUAAUAUGUGGGGUAGCGGAACAUUGGAUAAAAAAUAUAUACAUUUAUAUUUCUUAGAGAUAUAAAUUAAGGGAUAAAGGUAUAAUAUUAAAAUAUUAGUAUUUCUAUAUUAGUAUUUAAUAUUAUAAAGAGAAUUAGUAAGGGUACUUAAAUAAGAGUACUUGAGAAAGGUCUUUUGUAAUUUUCUUAGGUUAAUUAAAUAGUUCCUUUAUCUUUAGUUUUAGAUAUUACGUAACCUAUAGGUAAUAUUUACUUGAUGUAACUAAAACUAUCUAAAUAAUUUCCAAGAGAGAAUGCUGACAUGAGUAACGAAAAAGGCUUUUAGCCUCGCCUUAAGCUUAUGGCUUCUAUAUCAAACCGGUGUCUAAGAAUAUUAAUCAAAGGAUAAUUUUGAUGAUAUAUAAUAUACUCUUGUAAAUAGAGUAAAAAGUAAAACCUUUAUUAAGUAAUAAAGGUUCUGGAAAACUUUUUACAAAGUUUAUAUAUUAAAUAUAUAUAAUCAGAAACAUAUUACACCGUACCUAGAAUCUAACCCAAGUAAGCAAGUAGAGUAUACAAAGGCGUUUGAGUGAACAAUCAUUAAGGAACUCGGCAAAUUGACUCUGUACCUUCGGAAUAAGGAGGGCCAUUAUUAUUAUGUAUGAUAUAUUAAUAGUAUAUUAUAUUAAUAAUAAGAGGAAUCAUAAAAUAAUGUUGUACGACUGUUUAAUAAAAACACAGCACUCUGCAAAGAUAAAAAAUCAAAGUAUUGAGUGUGAUGUCUGCCCAAUGUCGGCUGGGUAACGGAUUUACCUUGGUUAUUAACUGAGGUUUUGAAGGACACCCCGAUUAAUGGCGGCCUUACCUAUGAGGGUCCUAAGGUAGCGAAAUACCUUGGCCGUUAAAUGCGGUCCUGCAUGAAUGACUUAACGAUACAACAGCUGUCUCGAUGAUUGUCUCAGUGAAAUUGGAAUAGCAGUGCAGAUACUGUUUACCUCUAGAUAGACGAGAAGACCCUAUGCAGCUUUACUGUUACUAAUUACAAGAGUACAAAUUUAGGAUGAUUUAUAGUGUAUAAGGUAGUUGUUAGAUAACAAUGAAACACCUUUAUUCGUAUCCUAUUAUAUUCUCUUGAUGAUUGGGAGGCAGUUUAUGCGGGGCACAGAUCCCACAAAAAGUACCUGGGUAUAUCCAAAGUUCAUAUUGUAAAUUUGUAUAUUUAUAUACAAAUAUUUUAAUUUGUUAUAUUUAUUUUUAUAUUUAUACAGUUACUAUUCGAUUAAAUUCUAUAUUUAUUUUUAUUUUAAGUAAGAUUUUAACUAUAUGGUGAAUAGAUGUAUUUUAAACUUUAAUAUUUAAAAGUUUUUUGUUAUAUUAAUAUUGUAUUUGUCAAUAUUAAUAUGAUGUUUAUUUAUACUUUAAAAGUUUAAUGGCUUAAUCUUGCUUUACUGUUUGACCUACAAGUCUAUCAGUCGCGUAAGCGGGGCAUAUGAUCACAAGAUGCAUUAAGGAAAGGUCUUGGAUUAUAGAAAAAGUUACGCUAGGGAUUUAUAACUGUGAGUCCUCCAAUAUUAUAAAAUAUUGGUAAU